Molecule: transfer RNA, 73 nt
Filed under: Candidatus Pacebacteria bacterium RIFCSPHIGHO2_01_FULL_46_10
Lineage: Bacteria; Bacillati; Minisyncoccota
Description: tRNA-Val
Rfam family: tRNA
About the family: Transfer RNA (tRNA) molecules are approximately 80 nucleotides in length. Their secondary structure includes four short double-helical elements and three loops (D, anti-codon, and T loops).
Source: RNAcentral
GGGCGGUUGGCGAAGUGGUUAUCGCGCGACAUUGACAUUGUCGAGGCCACAGGUCCGACUCCUGUACCGCCCA